This 1371-nucleotide ribosomal RNA is filed under the name Brenneria salicis. RNAcentral's name for it is "bacterial SSU rRNA". It matches the Rfam family "Bacterial small subunit ribosomal RNA", at positions 69 to 1434 of the family's 1533-position model. The record is from RNAcentral. Lineage: Bacteria; Pseudomonadati; Pseudomonadota; Gammaproteobacteria; Enterobacterales; Pectobacteriaceae.
ACAGAGAGAGCUUGCUCCUUGGGUGACGAGCGGCGGACGGGUGAGUAAAGUCUGGGGAUCUGCCUGAUGGAGGGGGAUAACUACUGGAAACGGUAGCUAAUACCGCAUGACGUCUUCGGACCAAAGUGGGGGACCUUCGGGCCUCACGCCAUGAGAUGAACCCAGAUGGGAUUAGCUGGUAGGUGAGGUAACGGCUCACCUAGGCGACGAUCCCUAGCUGGUCUGAGAGGAUGACCAGCCACACUGGAACUGAGACACGGUCCAGACUCCUACGGGAGGCAGCAGUGGGGAAUAUUGCACAAUGGGGGAAACCCUGAUGCAGCCAUGCCGCGUGUGUGAAGAAGGCCUUCGGGUUGUAAAGCACUUUCAGCGGGGAGGAAGGCAAUAAACUUAAUAAGUUUGUUGAUUGACGUUACCCGCAGAAGAAGCACCGGCUAACUCCGUGCCAGCAGCCGCGGUAAUACGGAGGGUGCAAGCGUUAAUCGGAAUGACUGGGCGUAAAGCGCACGCAGGCGGUCUGUUAAGUUGGAUGUGAAAUCCCCGGGCUCAACCCGGGAACAGCAUUCAAAACUGACAGGCUAGAGUCUCGUAGAGGGGGGUAGAAUUCCAGGUGUAGCGGUGAAAUGCGUAGAGAUCUGGAGGAAUACCGGUGGCGAAGGCGGCCCCCUGGACGAAGACUGACGCUCAGGUGCGAAAGCGUGGGGAGCAAACAGGAUUAGAUACCCUGGUAGUCCACGCCGUAAACGAUGUCGACUUGGAGGCUGUGGUCUUGAACCGUGGCUUCCGGAGCUAACGCGUUAAGUCGACCGCCUGGGGAGUACGGCCGCAAGGUUAAAACUCAAAUGAAUUGACGGGGGCCCGCACAAGCGGUGGAGCAUGUGGUUUAAUUCGAUGCAACGCGAAGAACCUUACCUACUCUUGACAUCCAGAGAAGACUGUAGAGAUACGGUUGUGCCUUCGGGAGCUCUGAGACAGGUGCUGCAUGGCUGUCGUCAGCUCGUGUUGUGAAAUGUUGGGUUAAGUCCCGCAACGAGCGCAACCCUUAUCCUUUGUUGCCAGCGAUACGGUCGGGAACUCAAAGGAGACUGCCGGUGAUAAACCGGAGGAAGGUGGGGAUGACGUCAAGUCAUCAUGGCCCUUACGAGUAGGGCUACACACGUGCUACAAUGGCGCAUACAAAGAGAAGCGAGCCUGCGAGGGUGAGCGGACCUCAUAAAGUGCGUCGUAGUCCGGAUUGGAGUCUGCAACUCGACUCCAUGAAGUCGGAAUCGCUAGUAAUCGUAGAUCAGAAUGCUACGGUGAAUACGUUCCCGGGCCUUGUACACACCGCCCGUCACACCAUGGGAGUGGGUUGCAAAAGAAGUAGGUAGC